UAAGAUGUGUUGUGGAAGGUGGUAGAAGAGGAGAGAUGGGCUCAUGCUCAGAACUUUACAGAUGUGACUUACAUACUCCCUGUGCACCUCAGUGGAAGCUGCCAACAAUGUGCCAGGUCAACAAGUCCCUGGGAUCAGGUGUAGAGCCUCUUCCUUUGGAUGUGCUGCCUUCCCUCCAGGAGCAGCCAUGUCCCUGCUGUACCUACAGCUUCAUUUCAACAGCCCAGUGAUUCCUUACUGUCGGGAUCACCUGGAAGGCCAGGUCCCAACUUGUCGUGUAAAUCCUCAAAUUCUACGUCUUUCCAACAGAGUGUAGAGAUGUACAUCAAGGCUUCUCCCGCCUCACACGCCUCCGAACCCGUUCCUCGGCUGCCAGGGAAGAAGAGCAUCACAGCCGUGGAACCUCCAAUACUGUGACCGUCUCAUGGUCUUGACCUGACCAAUUCCCAAGUGAUGCAGGAGAGUGAGAGGAUGCCUGUGGUUGUCAUGGCUACUCAGCGUGAGUUGCACUGUCCCACGCCUGCUCACACAUGAAGGAAUGUAAAUUGUUUCACUCCAGCAGUGUGAUCCUUGGACCUCCAACUCCUUCUGAGAAGAAGCCACAACCCUGUUCUCCUGACCCCCUUCCUCAAGGUCCAAGGUGGCAGCAAAGUUGGGCUGUGAACUGUAGCCCCAUGGCAGCCCUAAGGCUAAGUGCACCUUCCUCAGACCCCUGGGGUGAUUCCAACAGGGUGAUUCAUCUCUGUCCACCUGGAUGUCAAGCCCUUAUGGUCGGGUAUAGUUGUGGGGUCUCACAUAUAUACCCACAGGCCUCCUUCUCAGAUAACGGGCCUCUACAGAGAGGCCGUGGUCCAGGUAGUUAAAAGGAUGCUGGUUUUAGCCAGCCCCUUUGCAAAGGGCAAUUGUGGGCACCCCGAUACUCAGGGGAAGGCAUCAAUGGCCUCUUGGGUCUGAGCUUUCCUCUCCACCCUUGUCCACCCUUUGCUCAGUAGUCACUGCCCCUCGAUUCCUAAGUGGUAGUCAGGUAUUCAUCAUGGCAGCAGCAAAGCAGCAGAAGGUCUCAUGCAUCCCCUGGGGUCUAGCUCCACGGCCCUCACCUUGAGAACAAAGCCUAGGGACUUACUCAUUGUUGAGGUCCUCCUUGUCCUCCUU
This is a long non-coding RNA of Acomys russatus (golden spiny mouse), 1152 nucleotides long. RefSeq lists it as uncharacterized. The record is from RefSeq and is a predicted model, not a curated record. The transcript is spliced from 4 exons. Lineage: Eukaryota; Metazoa; Chordata; Mammalia; Rodentia; Muridae.